Molecule: ribosomal RNA, 122 nt
Filed under: Diaphorina citri (Asian citrus psyllid)
Lineage: Eukaryota; Metazoa; Arthropoda; Insecta; Hemiptera; Psyllidae
Source: RNAcentral
UUCAGGGGCGACAGCAUGUUGAAUGUAGGUACUUGUUCCCAAUAGAUCACUGAAGUUAAGCAACGUUUCGCGUGGUUGGUAUCCGGAUGGGUGACCAUGUGGGCAAUCGAGUAUUGCUGGCU